Phalacrocorax carbo (great cormorant) is the source of this 109-nucleotide non-coding RNA. The record is from RefSeq and is a predicted model, not a curated record. NCBI's taxonomy places the organism in Eukaryota, Metazoa, Chordata, Aves, Suliformes, Phalacrocoracidae.
UGCAGCCCCGUUGGAUUCAGUCCCUGCCUCAGUGGUGGGGACUGGCCACCCGGCUGCCACCUUCCGUAGUCUGUGGGACCCCGGGGAUAAAGUCAUGCCACAGGCAUUG